AAACAACCGGGAUUGCUUAGUAACGGCGAGUGAAGCGGCAAAAGCUCAAAUUUGAAAUCUGGCGUCUUCGACGUCCGAGUUGUAAUUUGAAGAAGGCGACUUUGUAGCUGGUCCUUGUCUAUGUUCCUUGGAACAGGACGUCAUAGAGGGUGAGAAUCCCGUGUGGCGAGGAUCCCAGUUAUUUGUAAAGUGCUUUCGACGAGUCGAGUUGUUUGGGAAUGCAGCUCUAAGUGGGUGGUAAAUUCCAUCUAAAGCUAAAUAUUGGCGAGAGACCGAUAGCGAACAAGUACAGUGAUGGAAAGAUGAAAAGAACUUUGAAAAGAGAGUGAAAAAGUACGUGAAAUUGUUGAAAGGGAAGGGCAUUUGAUCAGACAUGGCGUUUGCUUCGGCUUUCGCUGGGCCAGCAUCAGUUUUAGCGGUUGGAUAAAUCCUCGGGAAUGUGGCUCUGCUUCGGUAGAGUGUUAUAGCCCGUGGGAAUACAGCCAGCUGGGACUGAGGAUUGCGACUUUUGUCAAGGAUGCUGGCGUAAUGGUUAAAUGCCGCCCGUCUUGAAACACGGACCAAGGAGUCUAACGUCUAUGCGAGUGUUUGGGUGUAAAACCCGUACGCGUAAUGAAAGUGAACGUAGGUGAGGGCCCGCAAGGGUGCAUCAUCGACCGAUCCUGAUGUCUUCGGAUG
RNAcentral lists this ribosomal RNA (678 nucleotides) under Kluyveromyces marxianus. RNAcentral describes it as "LSU rRNA". It matches the Rfam family "Eukaryotic large subunit ribosomal RNA", at positions 63 to 786 of the family's 3401-position model. Lineage: Eukaryota; Fungi; Ascomycota; Saccharomycetes; Saccharomycetales; Saccharomycetaceae. The record is from RNAcentral.